GGGCCGACUAUGUCGACUUGGAGGUUGUGCCCUUGAGGCGUGGCUUCCGGAGCUAACGCGUUAAGUCGACCGCCUGGGGAGUACGGCCGCAAGGUUAAAACUCAAAUGAAUUGACGGGGGCCCGCACAAGCGGUGGAGCAUGUGGUUUAAUUCGAUGCAACGCGAAGAACCUUACCUGGUCUUGACAUCCACGGAAGUUUUCAGAGAUGAGAAUGUGCCUUCGGGAACCGUGAGACAGGUGCUGCAUGGCUGUCGUCAGCUCGUGUUGUGAAAUGUUGGGUUAAGUCCCGCAACGAGCGCAACCCUUAUCCUUUGUUGCCAGCGGUCCGGCCGGGAACUCAAAGGAGACUGCCAGUGAUAAACUGGAGGAAGGUGGGGAUGACGUCAAGUCAUCAUGGCCCUUACGACCAGGGCUACACACGUGCUACAAUGGCGCAUACAAAGAGAAGCGACCUCGCGAGAGCAAGCGGACCUCAUAAAGUGCGUCGUAGUCCGGAUUGGAGUCUGCAACUCGACUCCAUGAAGUCGGAAUCGCUAGUAAUCGUGGAUCAGAAUGCCACGGUGAAUACGUUCCCGGGCCUUGUACACACCGCCCGUCACACCAUGGGAGUGGGUUGCAAAAGAAGUAGGUAGCUUAACCUUCGGGAGGGCGCUUACCACUUUGUGAUUCAUGACUGGGGUGAAGUCGUAACAGGUAAACCGUAAAAGGG
RNAcentral lists this ribosomal RNA (710 nucleotides) under Escherichia coli. RNAcentral's name for it is "bacterial SSU rRNA". It matches the Rfam family "Bacterial small subunit ribosomal RNA", at positions 797 to 1510 of the family's 1533-position model. Lineage: Bacteria; Pseudomonadati; Pseudomonadota; Gammaproteobacteria; Enterobacterales; Enterobacteriaceae. The record is from RNAcentral.